RNAcentral lists this RNase P RNA (352 nucleotides) under Oscillospiraceae bacterium. RNAcentral's name for it is "RNase P RNA component class A". It matches the Rfam family "Bacterial RNase P class A". From Rfam's summary of the family: Ribonuclease P (RNase P) is a ubiquitous endoribonuclease, found in archaea, bacteria and eukarya as well as chloroplasts and mitochondria. Its best characterised activity is the generation of mature 5'-ends of tRNAs by cleaving the 5'-leader elements of precursor-tRNAs. Cellular RNase Ps are ribonucleoproteins. Lineage: Bacteria; Bacillati; Bacillota; Clostridia; Eubacteriales; Oscillospiraceae. The record is from RNAcentral.
CAAGUAAUCCAGAUGGUCGCGGGGGUGUUUGUAACACUCAUGAGGAAAGUCCGAGCUUCAUAGGGCAGGGUGCCGGGUAACUCCCGGUGGAGGCGACUCUAAGGAAAGUGCAACAGAAAUAGACUGCCGAUGGCUUUCAUCGGCGAUGGUGGAAAGGUGAGGUAAGAGCUCACCAGCGCGGCGGAGACGUCGUGGCUCUGUAAACCCCAUCCGAAGCAACACCGUAUUGGCUCGCAUAGGCUAAGUCGGCCCGGCGUGCUUAUGCUUGGCGGUGGCUUGAACCGUAUAGUAAUAUGCGGUCUAGAUAGAUGAUCAUCGAAUACAAAACUCGGCUUACAGGAUUGCUUGCAAA